GUGUCAGCAGCCGCGGUAAUACGAAGGGGGCUAGCGUUGUUCGGAAUUACUGGGCGUAAAGCGCACGUAGGCGGGUAUUUAAGUCAGGGGUGAAAUCCCAGAGCUCAACUCUGGAACUGCCUUUGAUACUGGGUACCUAGAGUAUGGAAGAGGUAAGUGGAAUUCCGAGUGUAGAGGUGAAAUUCGUAGAUAUUCGGAGGAACACCAGUGGCGAAGGCGGCUUACUGGUCCAUUACUGACGCUGAGGUGCGAAAGCGUGGGGAGCAAACAGGAUUAGAAACCCCUGUAGUCC
Molecule: ribosomal RNA, 292 nt
Filed under: uncultured bacterium
Lineage: Bacteria
Description: partial 16S ribosomal RNA
Rfam family: Bacterial small subunit ribosomal RNA
Source: RNAcentral